UUUUGUAAUUGGAAUGUCUGUCAACUUUGCUAUUACUAUCAGCAUGAAGACAUCAUUCCCUGUAUUUAUGUGUUCUUAAUUGUUACCUUGAUAUGCAUUCACUCAAAAUCUCCACAGGAGAAGCUAUACACAACAUAGAAGCAGCUCUCUAUUAUUGCCACUAAAGCCAGGGAAUUCAAAUGGAAAGCCUCAAGCCUCAUGUAGGCUCAUCUAAGUCCCUUGCAUAGACCCUCUGCCUGUGUGUAGGCAAACAAUAAAACUUCUGCCAGUGAAGAAAAUGGUAAGAA
RNAcentral lists this long non-coding RNA (287 nucleotides) under Physcomitrium patens. RNAcentral's name for it is "long non-coding RNA (PPAT_LNC009398)". Lineage: Eukaryota; Viridiplantae; Streptophyta; Bryopsida; Funariales; Funariaceae. The record is from RNAcentral.